GGCAUUAUAGUUUAGAGGUUAGAACGUUGAUUUCAUACGUCAAAUGCGGAGUUUCGAAUACUCCUUCUGCCAC
Molecule: transfer RNA, 73 nt
Filed under: Ulva meridionalis
Lineage: Eukaryota; Viridiplantae; Chlorophyta; Ulvophyceae; Ulvales; Ulvaceae
Description: tRNA-Met
Rfam family: tRNA
About the family: Transfer RNA (tRNA) molecules are approximately 80 nucleotides in length.
Source: RNAcentral